UCCGUAGGUGAACCUGCGGAAGGAUCAUUAUUGAUUGUAAACUGUUGCCUUCUGUGCUGGCUCGCUCUUGCAAGCAAGUGCACGUCGGUGACUUUCAUUCCAACACCCUUGUGAACCUUUGGCCUCUUGCUAGCUUCACGGCCGGCAGAGGAUUUCUACAUACACACUCGAAUGUAAUGAAACUCUUGUUGUGCACAAGCACUACUAAUACAACUUUCAACAACGGAUCUCUUGGCUCUCGCAUCGAUGAAGAACGCAGCGAAAUGCGAUAAGUAAUGUGAAUUGCAGAAUUCAGUGAAUCAUCGAAUCUUUGAACGCACCUUGCACCCUUUGGCAUUCUGAAGGGUAUGCUCGUUUGAGUGUCAUUGUACUCUCACACUUCCGAUCUUUGUAUUGGGAGUGGUGGACUUGGGUUUUGCUGCUUCACCGCGGCUUACCUCAAAUACGGUAGUGCAACUCUUGGUUGGACAUAAUACGGCGUGAUAAGUGGUUCUUCGCCGGUGCCUCGCAAAGAGGGUGGCCGAUCGGGAGGUUGUGCUCCAAACCGUCUUCGGACAAUCUCUGACAACUUGACCUCAAAUCGAGUAGGACUACCCGCUGAACUUAAGCAUAUCAAUAAGCGGAGGGA
RNAcentral lists this ribosomal RNA (628 nucleotides) under uncultured fungus. RNAcentral's name for it is "eukaryotic LSU rRNA". The stretch from base 212 to 365 matches the Rfam family "5.8S ribosomal RNA". The record is from RNAcentral. Lineage: Eukaryota; Fungi.